GAUGAACGCUGGCGGCGUGCCUAAUACAUGCAAGUCGAGCGAACAGACGAGAGUGCUUGCAUUCUCUGACGUUAGCGGCGGACGGGUGAGUAACACGUGGGUAACCUACCUAUAAGACUGGGAUAACUUCGGGAAACCGGAGCUAAUACCGGAUAAUAUUUAGCUUCGCAUGAAGCAAUAGUGAAAGACGGUUCUGCUGUCACUUAUAGAUGGACCCGCGGUGUAUUAGCUAGUUGGUGAGGUAACGGCUCACCAAGGCAACGAUACAUAGCCGACCUGAGAGGGUGAUCGGCCACACUGGGACUGAGACACGGCCCAGACUCCUACGGGAGGCAGCAGUAGGGAAUCUUCCGCAAUGGACGAAAGUCUGACGGAGCAAUGCCGCGUGAGUGAAGAAGGUUUUCGGAUCGUAAAACUCUGUUGUAAGGGAAGAACAAGUACGUUAGUAACUGAACGUACCUUGACGGUACCUUACCAGAAAGCCACGGCUAACUACGUG
This 499-nucleotide ribosomal RNA is filed under the name uncultured bacterium. Its description in RNAcentral is "partial 16S ribosomal RNA". It matches the Rfam family "Bacterial small subunit ribosomal RNA", at positions 28 to 507 of the family's 1533-position model. The record is from RNAcentral.